This is a long non-coding RNA of Panicum hallii, 1031 nucleotides long. RefSeq lists it as uncharacterized. The record is from RefSeq and is a predicted model, not a curated record. NCBI's taxonomy places the organism in Eukaryota, Viridiplantae, Streptophyta, Magnoliopsida, Poales, Poaceae. The transcript has 3 exons.
CCGUGAGCGGCUCGAGCAGAGGGCUGCUACUGAGUUCUACCUGGCUGUUCUGAGGAUGAAGCGUGAUGUCCUCACUGAGAUGCGCAACAACCUUGUGGAGGGGACCGCAGAGCUGGAGAUGAACUUCCUCUCACAGCCCACCUAUCUUGGAUGCGGCGCCGUAGAGUACGUCAAGUUCGAGGACAUGCCCAUGCUGCCAGAAACCACAUAGGACCCGGAAGGAGGAGUUUUGACAACUUACACCAUGUUUGAAUGCCUUUCCUUGCUAGCAGCAAUGGCAGAGGACCCCUACAUUGGCGAAGUUAUGUGUUGGCUUUCUGAAGACCGUUUACUUUGCUAGCAGAAACAGUUUUUGUUUUCUAGGCAUUUUGCAGUUCGCCUAACUGAACAGCCUGCUAGUUUUCUAGGUGUCUGAUCGUUUUUCCUUGGAUUUUAGUGGUGGCUCUCCGUACUCUUUUUUCUGUUAGGCGUGCUGGUGUUCACCACGUGAUAUCAGCCCUCUAUGCUUUGAACUCCUAUGAAUUUGUUGCUUCAAGUAAUGAGAUUAGGGCUCUUGGCCCGUUGGGUUGGGGAAAAAAUUGUUUUGCAUAUAGUAUUUUAACUUUCUGAAUGCAUGGCCAUAUCUGUCAGUAUUGAAUAGCAUAGGUAGAAAUCGUGUACAGUGCCAUUGGCAUUAUUGUGCCAUGUGUCCUUCGUUUCACUUCCGCUUUUCGUUUAGCCAUUCCACUAGGUCUUCAUUUACGUGGAAUCUGAGAGCAUAUAGAGAGGUAGGCUCAUUCCACGCUCUGUUUCAGGUUCAGCUCAAAUCGACCUUACCGUGAGAAUAUAGGAUUCACAUUUCAUCGAUGAGCAAUGCAAUGCUUUGAUCUAUAAGCAUUUCUGCAGAGGCCUAACAAGCUUGCUCAAUGGUGAGCAGCAGCCUGGCGGUUCAUCUGACUUGGAAGUGAACAAAUCUGAGUACAAGCAAAAGAAUACCUCCAGGCAACAGCUGACCGGAAGAUGGUGACCAGACUGACCACGACUAGUAUUAG